AAAAAACUGCUUUCCCCAUUUUUUCUCUAAAAAGGGUUUGGGGCUGGCCAAAAGGGUUCAAUGGCUCUCCGUCGUGGCCCCGCCGUGAACGACAGUUAGAGACACGCGGAUCUGGCCCUUUUUUAAGCCCUUUCCAAACCCUUUCCCUUUUUCUCUUUAAAUAAAAAAUAAAAAAAAAAUCUAGAUCUAGGAUAUUCAAAACGAAAAUAAGAGAGAAAAAGAGGGAAAAAAAUGUAAAUAGCGAAGGGAAGCCUUCAUUUUCGUUGCUUUUUCGACCCUCAUCGGAACCCGAAUGGGUUUUAUGAAAUUUGGAUUGCCGGAAAUCCCCACAAUGAAGGAAGACGCGCCUAAAGGUAGGAUUUUUAUCCUUUUCUACACAUUCAUUCCAAAAUAAGAAAUAAAAAUAGUAAAAAUAAAAUUAAAUAGAUCUUUGAAACUUUUGUUCUUUUGAUUCUGAUGAUUAUAUAUUUUCGUGUAUUCUCUCUGUAACCAAAAAAUACAACCUUGUAUGGCUUUAUAUAGCCGAAAUAAAAAGAAAGAAAAAUACAUUCUUUUUGCCAUUUUGUGCUAUUAUUUUAGCCUGAUUUGCAGGUACAAGGCGAUGUAGAGGCGUACGGGCGUGCUAACGUGGCGAGGUGGUCGUGGUUGCGGCGCAAGGAGGCCAUACAUGGAGUAGUUGGCUGCGGCACAAGGGCUAGGGUUUGCUGCAAACAUGGUUUGAGCUUUGGGCUAUUUGGGCCAAUGUAAUUGGGUCUUAGGGUUUUAUUAGUUUUGGGUUUUAAAUUGGGCUUUCCAUAUUGUAAUGGACUGUAUGAAAAUUUGGGCUUUUAUUUCUGUUUAUUAUUUUUUGUGGGUCUUAGGCCAGGGCGAAAUUGGGCCUCUACACAAGGAAUGAAAAUCCAAUUUGUGUUUAUUGAAGGUCUAAGAUGAAGGAAGGACUUAAAACUAAAGGCUUUUAAGAAGUCAUAAUUUGGUUUGCUUGCGAACAACAUCCCAUGAGGAUUAUUAUUGUGAAUAACUUUAGUGGCUGUCGGUUCAUGAUGAACACAGUUGAAUAGAAUGCAUAAUUGUAGAAGGUUAAAGGAUUGAAGGUUGUGUAAGCAAUGUGAGCCCAAUCUCAACAACUUGGCAACUAAGCUAUUUUAAGAAGGUGUUUGAUGGCAUAUUAAUCUAUGAAUAAUACAAUUAUACAGAAAAUAACGUUUUAAGGUUCUAAACUUUCCA
RNAcentral lists this long non-coding RNA (1224 nucleotides) under Gossypium barbadense (sea-island cotton). RNAcentral's name for it is "long non-coding RNA (GBAR_LNC004217)". Lineage: Eukaryota; Viridiplantae; Streptophyta; Magnoliopsida; Malvales; Malvaceae. The record is from RNAcentral.